Pecten maximus is the source of this 125-nucleotide long non-coding RNA. RefSeq lists it as uncharacterized. The transcript is spliced from 2 exons. NCBI's taxonomy places the organism in Eukaryota, Metazoa, Mollusca, Bivalvia, Pectinida, Pectinidae. The record is from RefSeq and is a predicted model, not a curated record.
AGCUGAAUCCCACCGGUGGAAUUUGAGAAGAAGGUUGAAAUAGGUGUUGUUCAGGAAAACCAUGAUUGCGCAAUCAUGUUACAAAAUGGCCGCCAUUGCUGCCAUGUCAAAGUUUUUACGAGGCC